Lepidothrix coronata (blue-crowned manakin) is the source of this 2953-nucleotide long non-coding RNA. RefSeq lists it as uncharacterized. The record is from RefSeq and is a predicted model, not a curated record. The transcript is spliced from 5 exons. NCBI's taxonomy places the organism in Eukaryota, Metazoa, Chordata, Aves, Passeriformes, Pipridae.
GUCAGCUGCUGCAUUCAGAUUUGCUUGUAGCGCUCACUGACUUCUGGUUAGAAGGGACUACACGAAAUGCUGAAGAAAUCAUGCCAUUGUCUUCUUUUCAGCGUAGAUUUGCAGAAAGCACCUUAACGCCUGUCCCAAGGAAUGUAAACAUGGACAAUAGCCUUCAGGCCCAGAACCUUGGAAGGAUUCCGAGGACUGUCAGUGAUAAAGAGGAAGAUGAUGAAAGAGGGGUCCCAAACUCCCCCAGACUCAGUUCCUGAAGGGAGGAGUGACCGUGUUAUCUACCCAGAGACCAUCUCUGCACCCCUGCUCCUGGACUGUGUAGCCCUUCCUUCUCACUCUGCUCCUGCAGCAGUUCCAGGCUUUCCUGCUCUCCCGGUCCUAAUACAGUUACCGACCACUGCAUUUUUUCUGCAUGACUUGGCAAUGUUGUCUUUGUUGGCUCUUCCCUGUGUGGAGGUAUCAGGGUCAUUUUUCCAUUUGCCAGAAGAGAAAACAAGCCACAAAAGACAGAGUGACUGCCCAAGGUCAUCCCUCAGGCUGACACAGCUUUGGAAAUAAAUAUGAGUUUCCUGAAUCCCAGCCCAAUGUUCUGUCCUCAACAAUAAAUGAAUGGCCAUCUUAACCACCAGAGGACAACAUUACCCAAUCACUCGCAUGUCUCUGAAACUGAAGGCCCUCUGGAAAACACAAGGUAUUUGCAUUUCGGUGGUCUCUGCAGUGUCUGACACUUCCAGUGUUUGUAAAGUCAUUUUUUAAUGCAAUGUAGUGAUGACCUAGAGAGAAAUGGAUUACCUCCAUAAUCAAUUGUAACAAAAUUUGCCACUCAGGUGCUUUCCUACAUAUUAAUAUGAUUUUGAAACUUUCACUCUGGAGACUUGUUCUUGAUAGGCUUUGGUAUCUAGCCAAUAUUUUAUAGGCAACAUUUUAAUUCAAUAAUACUUUAAGUGCAACAACAAAUUUGACAAAUGAAGCAUCUGUGUGAAAUAUACAAAUUAAAUUCUACAUGGGGAAGGCAAAUCUGAGGCUGUCUGAGCAGAGAUUAUAACAGCAGUAUGAUUUAAAACAUAACACUGAUGAAACUUUUGGAAAAUAUCCUUCCUUUCUUCACGAGAAAGUAACUCGUAGGCAGAUGUCUAUACAUCUUUAGAGUCUGGAGACUCAAUUUCUUUACAGAGUAAUUACUAGAUAACAAAAUUUUAAUCACUGUCUGGACCAUUAAACUUUGGUAAAGGUGACUGAAAUGAUCUCGGGGGAACCAAGAGCUUGUUUAGAACAGGGAUAUUAAGCAGCAGUAACUAAGUAACACAGCGGGAGUGUGAGUCCCAAGAGAAAAUAUGUUACAAUGACAAUGUUUAUUACACAUCUCAAUUACUUUGUACUAUGCACUUCAGCUUUCUGCAACAGAAAUCUACCACUGCUUCAGACCUCCAGAAGCCUGAAGAGCUACACAGGUGUCCUGAGUGCCUUCUCUGGUCUUGAGACCAGGUGGCACAGUCUAGUCAUAUCCAUCCUGAAAUUAUAAACGGCCAUAUCCAAACUGCCCAAAGUUAAUAGCUUAUCCUAUAUUAAUUCUCAGAUCAUCCCAGGAAUUACCUGGAAGAUUGAUAAUACACUGCAGCUGUGCAUGGGACUGUUUGAACAGUUUAACAGUGCAGGUAGCCUACUUCUGCCCCUCUGCCUGUUCAUUUACUAGUCAAAACAGAACCAAUGAUGAUCUCCUAGCAAAAACAAUAUGCUUCUCAUGUGUUAUGAACAAAAAAAGAGCUGAAAAGGGAUGGACAAAGAAGAAUGACGAAUGGAGAGGGAAGACAGGGCCAAAGUUCUUAACUGGGAAAGCUCUGAGUUAGCAGUGUUGUAGAUAAACGUGAGAAAUGCAGGACGGAAGAAGAGAGGAUGCUGCAAUACUCAAAUUACCAAAGGUUGAGGGAUGGAACUAGUUAAGGGUUUGGAGCAGCAUCUGCAUUUUAGAUCUACUAGGCAAGAGGAAUCUUUGAAGUUCAGAGUCAGCCAUGGGCAGAGGCUCAGCUGAAGACAAAUCUGAGGUCCAGGGAAGGUGGUGCUAUUCUUGGUGAGCAGAAAGGAAGUAGCAGGGAGGGCUAAGGAGACAAUGUAUUGUUGAUUAGGGUUAUCCACCACUAAGCUGGAUCCCCACAAAGCAGAGGCAAGCACAUGGCCUGAAAUUCAUCUGACUAGACCUGAACACCUGACAGUCUCUCAGAGGUUGCCAGCUGUGAAGGAAGCCUGCAGUUCAUCUUCAAUGUUAUUCAGAAUUAUUAAAAGAGACACAGAGGUCAAAAGAGAAGCAAAAGUUUCUAAAGAAGCUGCCCACAUUGAGAAUAUUACCCCAACAAUACAUAUUAAAGUGAUCAUCCCUGUCCUACUGAUGUGCUGGUGAGGCAGACCUUCAAUGCAUCCAAGCUCAGGAGGCAAUAGUGGGUGUUAAAAUUAUUCAAGCUACCUACUUGGCCAAGUAUUUGUGGUUAGAGAUGCUGAAGUCCUGCAAGUCAAAGAUCACAGAAAUCCAAAGAGCGUCUGAGAAAUGGGUUCGGCGUCCCUGUACCCAAUCCAGCUUUACUGCUGACAUCUAAACUAAUAAGUAAGUUUAAUAGUGCCAGCUAUUGUAGCCUCUUUACUGCAUAACUGUAGGAAGGUGAUUAAUGUGGUUUUGGAACAGGGGCAAAUAACCCUCUCUUAGGCAGUUCUCAGGGACAAUGUUGGUUUCUGAUGAGUCAGGGACCAUUUCCAGUAGGCAAUCUGGAUACAGACCCUCUGUUUUGAAUUUAAAAAUAGAGGCACAGUAAAAAAAUUUUGGUUGGGUUUGUUGCCUAAAACUGGGAGAAAAAAAACUCACCAGGCCAUAUUAGAAUAAGUAAGAUAGAGAGCAGGUCUUUAAUGAAGGCCUUUUGGCGCAAGGAGUACAAAGACGCGCACCCGUGUCCAGGGGUUUCAC